UCCGUAGGUGAACCUGCGGAAGGAUCAUUAAAGAGUAAGGGUGCUCAGCGCCCGACCUCCAACCCUUUGUUGUUAAAACUACCUUGUUGCUUUGGCGGGACCGCUCGGUUCCGAGCCGCUGGGGAUUCGUCCCAGGCGAGCGCCCGCCAGAGUUAAACCAAACUCUUGUUAUUAAACCGGUCGUCUGAGUUAAAAUUUUGAAUAAAUCAAAACUUUCAACAACGGAUCUCUUGGUUCUCGCAUCGAUGAAGAACGCAGCGAAAUGCGAUAAGUAAUGUGAAUUGCAGAAUUCGGUGAAUCAUCGAAUCUUUGAACGCACAUUGCGCCCCUUGGUAUUCCGAGGGGCAUGCCUGUUCGAGCGUCAUUACACCACUCAAGCUAUGCUUGGUAUUGGGUGCCGUCCUUAGUUGGGCGCGCCUUAAAGACCUCGGCGAGGCCACUCCGGCUUUAGGCGUAGUAGAAUUUAUUCGAACGUCUGUCAAAGGAGAGGAACUCUGCCGAUUGAAACCUUUAUUUUUCUAGGUUGACCUCGGAUCAGGUAGGGAUACCCGCUGAACUUAAGCAUAUCAAUAAGCGGAGGA
Molecule: ribosomal RNA, 581 nt
Filed under: uncultured Aureobasidium
Lineage: Eukaryota; Fungi; Ascomycota; Dothideomycetes; Dothideales; Dothioraceae
Description: eukaryotic LSU rRNA
Rfam family: 5.8S ribosomal RNA (bases 211-364)
Source: RNAcentral